Phoenix dactylifera (date palm) is the source of this 4417-nucleotide RNA transcript. It is a transcript of the gene named coatomer subunit alpha-3-like, with no coding region annotated. The record is from RefSeq and is a predicted model, not a curated record. NCBI's taxonomy places the organism in Eukaryota, Viridiplantae, Streptophyta, Magnoliopsida, Arecales, Arecaceae.
CGUUUUGCCAAGAAAAAAAAAGCUCCAACGACGAGAAUGAGACCUCAUCCGAGAGACAGAGAGAGAAUGCCACCGCAUUACUGUAACCCAGAUCUCGUUCUACUUCAUCUCUCUCUACCCGCAUCGGCCUUGGUGAUCUUGUCAUCGUCGACCAUGAUCGCCUCAUCUUGAUCGAUCCUCUCUCUCUCUUUUUCCCUCUCAAUCCCCAGAUUUGAGCCCUUCUUCCUCAAUCCCCUCGCGAUUUCUCCCUCCUAGCACCAGACCGCCCUGGGUUUUUUAGAGAGAUUUGUCGGAGGAAAAUGUACGAGAGAUGCUGACCAAGUUCGAGACCAAGAGCAAUCGGGUGAGGGGGCUGAGCUUCCAUAGCAAGCGGCCAUGGAUCCUCGCCAGCCUCCACAGCGGCGUGAUCCAGCUAUGGGACUACCGGAUGGGCACCCUUCUCGACCGCUUCGAGGAGCACGACGGCCCCGUCCGCAGCGUCCAUUUCCAUAAUUCCCAACCCCUCUUCGUCUCCGGAGGAGAUGAUUCCAAGAUUAAGGUCUGGAAUUACAAGACAGACCGGUGCCUGUUUACUCUUCUUGGACACCUUGAUUACAUCCGUACUGUGGAAUUCCACAAUGAGUGCCCUUGGAUUGUCACUGCCAGUGAUGAUCGGACCAUCAGGAUUUGGAACUGGCUGUCAAGGACUUGCAUUUCAGUUCUGACCGGGCAUGGCCACUAUGUCAUGUGUGCCUCAUUCCAUCCAAAGGAGUACUUGGUUGUAUCAGCUUCCUUGGAUCAAACAAUCCGAGUUUGGGAUAUUGGUGCAUUGAGGAAGAAGACAGUGGCCCUAGCCGAUGACACCUCGCGUCUGAACCGGAUGAACACAUAUUUGUUGGGGGAAGUUGAUGUUAUAGUCAAGUAUGUGUUAGAAGGUCAUGAUCGUGGAGUCAAUUGGGCGUCAUUCCAUCCAAAGCUUCCUCUUAUUGUUUCUGGGGCUGAUGAUAGGCAAGUAAAGCUGUGGCGAAUGAAUGAUACGGAGGCUUGGGAAAUGGACACGUUGAGAGGGCACACGAGCAAUGUAUCCUGUGUUAUAUUCCAUACGAGGCAAGGCAUCAUUGUGUCCAACUCCGAGGAUAGAAGCAUUUGCAUUUGGGAUGCUACAAAGCGUACCGCUCUUCAGACAUUUCGGCGUGAACACGACCGUUUCUGGAUUCUCGCUGCACAUCCGGAGAUGAACCUUCUUGCCGCAGGUCAUGACAGUGGUAUGAUUGUUUUCAAAUUGGAGAGAGAACGCCCUGCCUUCUCUGUGAGUGAAGAUACUCUUUACUACUUCAGAGACCAGUUUUUGCGAUCCUAUGAGUUUUCAUCACAGAAGGAAAAGCAAGUGUGUAUUAUAAGAAGACCUGGUUCCAUUUUUUUGAAUCAGGGACCUAGAACACUAUCCUUUAUCCCCACGGAAAAUGCUGUAUUAAUCUGUUCUGAUGUUGAUGGCGGGUCGUACGAACUCUAUAUUGUUCCCAAUUAUGGUGCUAGAAAAGAUGAUGUUAUCAAGGUAAAGAAGGGAAGUGGGGGAUCAGCAGUAGUUGUUGCUCGCAAUAGGUUUGCAGUCCUUGACAGGAGUAGCAAUCAAGUAUUGGUCAAAAAUCUUAAGAAUGAAACUGUGAAGAAGUCUUUUCUUCCUAUUGUCACUGAUGCUAUCUAUUAUGCUGGGACAGGCAAUAUAUUGUGCAGGGCUGGGGAUAGGGUGGUCAUAUUCGAUCUCCAACAGAGGAUCACUCUCGGGGAACUUCAGACUCCUUCUGUUAAGUAUGUUGUUUGGUCGGGUGACAUGGAGACUGUUGCGUUGCUUAGCAAGCAUACGAUUGUUAUUGCUGGUAAGAAACUUGUGCACCUGUGCACGCUGCAUGAAACUAUCCGUGUAAAAAGUGGUGCUUGGGAUGAGAAUGGUGUAUUCAUAUAUACAACCCUGAACCACAUCAAGUAUUACCUACCAAAUGGGGACAGUGGGAUUAUCAGGACACUCGAUGUUCCUAUAUACUUAACCAAGGUUUCUGGAAACAAUAUUUAUUGCUUGGAUCGUGAUGGGAAGAACAAGGUCAUACCAAUUGAUUCAACAGAGUAUAUGUUUAAGCUUGCCCUUCUAAGGAAAAGAUACGACCAUGUCAUGAGUAUGAUCAAGAGCUCAAAGCUGCGUGGACAAGCUGUGGUUGCUUAUUUGCAGCAGAAAGGGUUUGCAGAAGUUGCUCUUCAUUUUGCCAAAGACCAGAAGACAAGGUUUUAUCUGGCUCUCAAGAGUGGAAACAUCCAGGUAGCUGUUGCUUCUGCAAAAGAGAUAGAUGAGAAAGACUGCUGGUACAGGUUAGGCAUCGAGGCCCUUCGUCAGGGAAAUACCAGUAUUGUGGAAUAUGCAUACCAGAGGACGAAGAAUUUUGAAAGGCUCUCUUUCCUGUAUCUUGUAGCGGGAAACAUAGAAAAGCUUUGCAAAAUGCUGAGGACCGCUGAGAUUAAAAAUGAUGUGAUGGGUCAGUUCCACAAUGCAUUGUAUCUAGGUGAUAUACAGGAAUGUGCCAAGAUCUUGGAGAAUGCAGGUCAUUUGCCCCUAGCAUAUAUUACAGCUUCUAUUCAUGGUCUUACGGAGAUUGCGGAUCGGCUUGCAGCUGAGUUGGGCGAUAAUGUUCCCUCUCUACCUGAAGGCAAAGGCUGUUCUCUUCUGAUGCCACCUCGUCCCCUUGUGUGCAGUGGUGAUUGGCCCAUGUUGAGGGUCAUGAGAGGAGUUUCUGAAGGUGGCUUGGACUAUGGAGGAAGGACAGGACAUGAGGAGGAAGAAGAAGCCACUGGGGCAGAUUGGGGUGAUGAUGGCUUGGAACUUGUUGAUGCGGAGGGUGCGAUGCAGAAUGGAGUUUUGGAAGUCGAGGAUGCUGAGGCAGAUGAAGAGAAUGAUGUGGAAGGAGGAUGGGACCUUGAAGAUUUGGAGUUACCACCUGAUAUCGAUGCUCCAAAAGCUACAGGUAAUGCUGCCACCUUAUUUGUCGCCCCUACUCCAGGCAUGCCGGUGAGCCGUAUCUGGAUUCAGAAAUCAUCACUUGCUGGGGAGCAUGCAGCAGCUGGGAAUUUUGAUACCGCCAUGCGCUUGCUUAACCGACAAUUAGGCAUCAGAAACUUCGCUCCCUUGAAGCCAUUGUUCAUGGAUCUACAUAUGGGCAGUCACACAUACUUGAAUGCUUUUGCUUCAGCUCCUGUAAUAUCUAUUGCUGUUGAGAAGGGUUGGAGUGAGUCUGCUAGCGCUAAUGUGAGAGGUCCUCCGGCACUUGUGUAUAUAUUAUCUCAGCUGGACGAGAAACUUAAAAUAGCAUAUAGGGCCACAACAGAGGGGAAGUUCUCAGAAGCUCUACGGGUCUUUCUCAAUAUCUUGCACACUAUCCCUCUUAUUGUUGUGGGCUCUAGGAGAGAGGUUGAUGAAGUCAAAGAGCUGAUUGAAAUAGCGAAAGAGUAUGUGGUGGGCUUGAAGAUGGAGGUCAAAAGAAAGGAAAUCAAGGACAAUUCGCUCUGGCAGCAGGAGUUGGCAGCCUACUUUGCCAACUGCAAACUCCAUAGAAUUCAUAUGAAGCUAGUGCUAGCCAGUGCCAUGACCACCUGCUUCAAGGGAGGCAACUACAGUACAGCAGCCUACUUCGCAAGGAUGCUUGUGGAGAGCAGCCCAAGUGAGGCUCAAGCAAAGAAGGCUAGGCAAGUGCUGCAGGCAUGUGGCGAUAGGAAAGAUGCAAGCCAGUUGAAUUAUGAUUCUAGGAAUCCAUUUGUUGUUUGUGGGGCAACUUUUGUUCCACUUUACCAAGGGCAGAAGGAUAUAUCCUGCCCUUACUGUCGGGCACGAUUUGUUCCGGCCAUUGAAGGCCAAAUUUGUGCGGUCUGUGAAAUAGCAGUGGUGGGGGCUGAUGCAUCAGGUCUGUUAUGUUCUCCAACCCAGACAAGAUGAUGAAAGUCUAUCAUAGCAACUUGGGUGGGCACAGGCGGAUCUCCCCAACCCCAUGGAACUGCUUUGCAAUUCCACUUACUAGUCUGGCACAAAAGCUUCUGUAGACCCGGGGCAAAGUUUAUAUGAACAUGCCCUUCUUCGAUGAUAGAAACCUCUUGGCAGAUGAUCUGCUUUGUGCUUGUUGCCGCCAUUCUAACAUUUUCUAUCGGUAAAUGAUACAGUGCUUUUCAUUGGUAAGCUUUGAAGAGUAACCUUUAUCAGAUUGAGACAUAUGAUACACAGCUCGUAGUGUGAAUAAGGGAGAAAAUUCUCAAGAUCUCGAUUCAAGGAAUACUAAUUAUCUGAUGGAUUUUGCCUUGCGUUGGUUUCAUGGCACUAAUACCCAUCUCAUCAAUCCUCUGCAACUGGCUCACAAGGGUUUAAAAUGGAUCAUAGUUGGGGAACCAUGCACUUUUGCCUUGU